UAAAUUUUAUUUUAAAAAAAAAAUAAUAUUUACAUUAUUAAAAUAUAUAAACACACAUAAUAAAAUAUAUAAAUUUAA
RNAcentral lists this transfer RNA (78 nucleotides) under Microplitis incurvatus. RNAcentral describes it as "tRNA-Val". The record is from RNAcentral. Lineage: Eukaryota; Metazoa; Arthropoda; Insecta; Hymenoptera; Braconidae.